CCGAGCGCUCGCCCAAGGGUCUAGCCCUGGGGCGUACCUCCCACCCCUUGCCUACCGUCCUGUUGCUUUGGUGGACCAUUUCCCCUUGGGGAUCCGAUGCCUAGCGCUCGAUAGCGUUCACCAGAGCCCCCCAAACACGACCGACGCGCUGAGCCGUCUGAGUAGUGAUUGUAUAAUCGUCUA
Molecule: unclassified non-coding RNA, 183 nt
Filed under: uncultured fungus
Lineage: Eukaryota; Fungi
Description: sequence contains ITS1, 5.8S rRNA gene
Source: RNAcentral